Molecule: non-coding RNA, 34 nt
Filed under: unclassified sequences
Source: RNAcentral
CUUUAGGCUCAAAAGGAGUUUAAGGCGGAAGGAG